GACGAACGCUGGCGGCGUGCUUAACACAUGCAAGUCGAGCGGUAAGGCCCUUUCGGGGGUACGACGAGCGGCGAACGGGUGAGUAACACGUGGGUGACCUGCCCUCCAGCUCUGGGAUAAAGCCUGGGAAACCGGGGUACUAUACCGGAUAUGACUCCAUGACGCAUGUUGUGGGGUGGAAAGCCUUGUGCGGCUGAGGAUGGGCCCGCGGCCUAUCAGCUUGUUGGUGGGGUGAGGCCUACCAAGGCGACGACGGGUAGCCGGCCUGAGAGGGCGACCGGCCACACUGGGACUGAGACACGGCCCAGACUCCUACGGGAGGCAGCAGUGGGGAAUCUUGCGCAAUGGGCGAAAGCCUGACGCAGCGACGCCGCGUGAGGGAUGACGGCCU
RNAcentral lists this ribosomal RNA (391 nucleotides) under uncultured bacterium. RNAcentral describes it as "bacterial SSU rRNA". It matches the Rfam family "Bacterial small subunit ribosomal RNA", at positions 28 to 417 of the family's 1533-position model. The record is from RNAcentral.